ACUCCUACGGGAGGCAGCAGUGGGGAAUAUUGCACAAUGGGGGAAACCCUGAUGCAGCCAUGCCGCGUGUGUGAAGAAGGCCUUCGGGUUGUAAAGCACUUUCAGUAGGGAGGAAGGUAGUUAGUUACACCUGCAUUAUUUGACGUUUACCUACAGAAGAGCACCGGCUAACUCCGGUGCCAGCAGCCGCGGUAAUACGGAGGGUGCGAGCGUUAAUCGGAAUUACUGGGCGUAAAGCGCAUGCAGGCGGCCUGUUAAGUCAGAUGUGAAAGCCCGGGGCUUAACCUCGGAAUUGCAUUUGAAACUGGCGGCUAGAGUCUUGUAGAGGGGGGUAGAA
This 337-nucleotide ribosomal RNA is filed under the name uncultured bacterium. Its description in RNAcentral is "bacterial SSU rRNA". It matches the Rfam family "Bacterial small subunit ribosomal RNA", at positions 335 to 666 of the family's 1533-position model. The record is from RNAcentral.